UCCCAUCCUUGCUUGGCUGCUUUAGAGAGACAGAGAGCGAGAAUUGGGCUGAGAGUCUCGUCUCCGCUCCUUCUCAAACCCUCAGCCCCUCUUGUCUCCUUCCCGCUGACCGCCGACCGUCGCCCGCCGCCUUCCACCCUCUGGUCCUUCCGCGUCGCCUCCCACCCCAAACCCCCUGAGUGGCUCGGUUACUCACUGAAGGUGUCAAGGCAGUCGAGCUCACCGUCGUGGGCUCCGGCAAUGUCAUCUUCUUCUCCUGGUCGCAGCAGACUCGGCAACGUCGUCGUCUUCUCCUGGUCGCGGCAGACUUGUUGCCGGUCGUCGUCUUCUCCUCUUCGCAUCGCCGGUCUUCGCAGGUCUUCCUUCCCCUUUUCUCCGUCAGGUUCAGGUAAGUCAGCCCUGGUCUUCGCUGGUCUUCCAUUCCCUUUUUUGAAUUUAGAUUUCUGAAUUAGGGUAAAGAAUUUCUGUGUUCUGAAUUAAUGAGAUUCCAAUUAAUCUGAAUUUCUGUGUUUUGAAUUUCUGGAUUUCUGAGUUUUGAAUUUCUAAAUUUCUGAUUAGGUUAACGAAUUUCUGAAUUUCUGAUUAGGUUAAUGAAUUUCCGACUAUGAAUUUCUAGUUGUGUAAUUAUAUUUCUGAGUUAGGUUGAUAUGAAAUUGAUUUCUGAUUCUGAUUAAUAUUUCUGAGUUAAUAUUGAGUUAAUCUGAAGUUAGGUUAAUCUGAUUCCAAUUAUGAAUUUCUGGUUUUGUAAUUUAUAUUUCUGAAUUAGAUUGAUAUGAUUUUGAUUUCUGAUUCUGAUUUAUAUUUUGGGUUGAUUUGAUUCUGAAUUUUUUAAUUAGGGUAAUUAGGUUCUGAGUUUUGAAUUUUCUGAUUCUGAUUUCUAUUUAGGGUUGAUUUAAUUCUGAAUUUUUUAAUUAGGAUAAUUAGGUUCUGAUUUUUGAAUUUUCUGAUUCUAAUUUCUAAUUAGGGUUGAUUUGAUUUUGAAUAUCUGAUUUAGGGUAAUUAGGGUCAGAUUUUAUUGAGUUAUUAUAUGAUUUAACUUUUUAAAUUGUUUUCUUGUUGAUGUAGGACUCAAGUAAGUCGGAAUCUACCAUCACUACCAUUACGGGAUGAAAGAAAGAUUGAGAUGGUGGAAUUAUGUUUUUAUGAUAUCAUGAACUUUAUUUGGUUGUUUAUGAAUAUGGUUGGUUGUUUAUGUAAUAUUUGGUUGUU
RNAcentral lists this long non-coding RNA (1209 nucleotides) under Arachis ipaensis. RNAcentral describes it as "long non-coding RNA (AIPA_LNC002159)". The record is from RNAcentral. Lineage: Eukaryota; Viridiplantae; Streptophyta; Magnoliopsida; Fabales; Fabaceae.